This 551-nucleotide unclassified non-coding RNA is filed under the name uncultured Bartonella sp. Its description in RNAcentral is "partial 16S-23S ribosomal RNA intergenic spacer". The stretch from base 99 to 172 matches the Rfam family "tRNA". The record is from RNAcentral. Lineage: Bacteria; Pseudomonadati; Pseudomonadota; Alphaproteobacteria; Hyphomicrobiales; Bartonellaceae.
AAAACAAGUCCACCGUGGGCUUUGAAAAACGCUUUCCUUGAUAAAAUUUAAGCGUUUUAUAAGAGGAUGCCGGGGAAGGUUUUCCGGUUUAUCCCGGAGGGCUUGUAGCUCAGUUGGUUAGAGCGCGCGCUUGAUAAGCGUGAGGUCGGAGGUUCAAGUCCUCCCAGGCCCACCAGUUUAUCCAUUACUUUCAUAAGUGCUUUUAAAAAAUAAGUACUUCUAAAAAGAUUGCUUCUAAAAAGCUUAUCAAAAUUGGCAGGCUUAUUGCUUUUGUGUGAGUAAUCCAAAGUUAAAGCAAAUUAAUGGCAAAAAAACAGUUCAAAUGCUAAAUACUAAGGAGUCAAAAUUCCUUGCAAAGUGAUUUUUACAGCGUCCAUUUGGUUGAUAUAAAUUCCAAAUGCUCAUAGACGUCAAUGCCUAUAUGAAACUAUCGGUUCAAUCAUAUCGCUUUGAGUUAUAUAGAUUUUGUAAUCCCUCUUUUGAUCGUUUUAAACGCUUUAUUCUGAUUUAGGGGCCGUAGCUCAACUGGGAGAGCACCUGCUUUGCAAGCA